AGCCCCGCCACCAUUACUGCAACAUUAGAAUCAAACCCUGAGGAAAUGUUUAAAAUCGCAUUUUGUUCCCGCCUCCCGCUGUGCCUGGCCCGGUGGGGCGUGGCUACAAUUAUAUUGGCCAAUAGCCAAGAAGGGGCGUUGUGGACGCGUCUGUCAACCAAUGGGAGCUGCUGCUGGUUGUGAUAGAUAAGGCAAGUGGCUGCGGGUUCCUGACGCAGUUGAGCAGUACCUGUGGGACGGUGCGGCUCUGCUGUGGUGAUUGCUAAUGGUAUUUCUUCACAAGAGGGAAUAAUCUGUGGCUUUGGCUGUCUUUUUCUGCCGCUGUACUGAAGGCUGUUCAGAUGUUUCUUUAUUCUUUUCUGCCUGUAGGAUUGUUUGGUGCCAAGGUUCCAACUCCUUUCUCCUUCAGUGGUGCUGGUUAUUUAUAGAGCUGACUGAGCCCAGUCUCUUCAGUGGACACGUGAUCGCUUCUUAUUGUAACUCUAGCAGUUUUAUUUGCUUUUAUGCAAGUGAGGCUGUGGUGUACAAUUAAUAGGAAUACACUCUCUCCAGGCUUUUGGCCUUUUUCAGCAGCGUUCGGAUACGGCCGAAUGAUUGUGCCUGGCACAUGCAAAUAAGGGUUCGUGUUCAGUAUUCGGCUGAAUCUUCAGAAAAUCAACUCAGACGGCAGCGCCCACUGGUUGCCAGGGGUAGCAAAAAUGCCGCUCCUGGUAACUAAGAGCCAAAUUUCAGUUUUUUUCAACUCGGAAAUUCAGCUCUUCCGCUCUCUGCACUAGCGACAUGGAUGCCGCGAGCCUCUCCUGCGCCGUGAAGAUGGGGGGGCGUGGCAGAACAAAGGGAGACAAAAUGGCCAGAAUCGCCCCUGGAUUCAGGAAGUUGUUCCAAAUUCAAAAUAGUGGAUUUGGUGCAUCCCUAACAGUUGUAUUGUGUGACUGCAUGAUAGCAAUAUAGUCUUGGAUUAAAGCAUAUCCUUUCCGAUUGAAUCGGACGCAAACCUGGCAAUUUAUGAAAGGCUACUUACUGUUCUUGCACCUCAAUUGAUGUGUGUGGCGUACUUCUCUGCAUAGGUUUCCAUUUAAAAAAUGACAGUUUAAAGAUGAUGUAGGCUUUGGUGACAUUUAAGCAUAUUUUGCUUUGGAAUACACUUGGCCUUGGCACAAUAGUGAUGCUCCAUUUUUAAAAAAAGACGUUUUGCAUAAUUUGGCUUUAACCAAAAAUUGUAAUUUUAUGCAUAAACAAACCUGUUACACCAGUUUAAUCUUAAGGCCACUUUUCUGAAUUUUCCUCCGAAAUGAGAUUAGAUCAUAUGAUCAUAGUGCAUCCAAGUGCGACAUGAUCCGACACUGCCAUUACUUACCUUGUUUCCGUCGCAUCCGCCUUGAUGCCUUCAAUUUUGCGCAGCGCGUUGGAUCGCUGGGAAAUUGGCCGCGUAGUCCUGCCCUUAUACUAAAUGAAUGUGCUGAUAAACUGAUUAAAAUCCAUAUCUUUAAUCUGAGACCAAGUUAUGCUGCUGCCAGUGCUUGAAUGCAGAGCGACAUGGAUAGCUAUGGCCACUCAUCAUUGUUUAGUUACAUAAUGCCGGCAAGUUACACACAUCUGUACAAUAAUAUGCAAAUCAUUGUAUGGCUUCAUUUAUUUUUAGGCUACAAAGAUAAUCUGCAAGUUCUGCUGAAUUUGUUUUGUAGGCUCUGCGUAGAGAUGUGACUUCUGAAAUUUCCCAUAUCUCCUGGGGCAGCAUGAAGGUUGGAGGGCACGUUUAUAAGGACUGCAAGGUCUGGCCAGGUGGCAGCAGGACAUGGGACUGGAGAACGGAUGUCCCAGCCGCUACCCUGGAAUAUAUCAAAACACAAGGUAUCGUGCCCUGGUCUUCCAAACAGAGAAGGCGGUGAAGGAGUAUAACUGUUUGGCUUCACAAGGCGCCAGAGUUGGGGGAGUUUUUCAUUCAACCUGCUGAUCCAAAAAGCCUGGGAACAGAGCAUGUUGGGUUGCAGAGAGUGAUGUCUGAAUUUACAUCUGUUGCAGUGAUACGAUGCCUUGCUGUGAUAUUAAAGGCUUGAGUCUGAAAUGGUA
This is a long non-coding RNA of Xenopus laevis (African clawed frog), 2070 nucleotides long. RefSeq lists it as uncharacterized. The transcript is spliced from 2 exons. The record is from RefSeq and is a predicted model, not a curated record. NCBI's taxonomy places the organism in Eukaryota, Metazoa, Chordata, Amphibia, Anura, Pipidae.